This 420-nucleotide unclassified non-coding RNA is filed under the name Hevea brasiliensis (rubber tree). Lineage: Eukaryota; Viridiplantae; Streptophyta; Magnoliopsida; Malpighiales; Euphorbiaceae. The record is from RNAcentral.
UACCAUAAAGAAAUAGGGCCCGCAAGCUUUUCAGCAUCCAAGAAUUAUCAAGCUCAAAACCACCUAUGAAUAAACUACGCAACUUCUUACCACCACCAGUUGGAAAUGCCGCCAAAAUGGAUGCAUUUCGCCUAUCUACAUGUGCACGACGAAUGCGUGAUAUGUCAUCAGCAGCAGAACAAUUUUCCAAAGUCAAUGUCUCAGAAUUUGAAAGUGACAAUGCAAGGUCAUGCACAAGAUCAUGCAUCUUGCACCAUCUAACAUUCUCAUAUUUGUCCCUUUCAGCAUCUUGGAAAAAGGAAUUCUGAAGUAAGGCAUUAAAAUACUUGUUGCCCUCAUCUUGACUAGACGACCCAAGAAAACCUUCAGCCAUCCAAAGCUGAACUAAUUCUUUCUUUGCAAUAUAAAAAUCUUUGGGGA